UAGCGUGAGAAUAAGUUGUGAUAGAUUAAAUGUAUGGCUCAUGUGAGUAUAUAGCUGUAAUACUUUCAUGCAUUUUCUCCAUACAACAGGUUUAGCUCCAUUUUACUUUUACAUUUUAGUCAUUUAGCAGACGCUCUUAUCCAGAGCGACUUACAGUAGUGAGUGUAUACAUUUUCAUACUCCAGUGAAUCUCUCCAGGAUUUCGCAUGGAUUUUUUGGAUAUUAGCUGAUAAAUAUGCUAGAUUUUGCAGCGACAAUUAUGACAUUUUGCAUAGCAAUAUGCAAUUGUUUUGUCCAAUUUGUUGCAAAAAUGCGCUGACAAGGAAAAAACUGUGUUGACGUCUGGCUUGAUUGAACCAUAUUAUGCAGUAAAUGUGCGGUGAUUGGUUGAAAUUGCGAGCCCUCUUUUUGUACUGUGGUAAUGGGUCAGUUCUAUGCAAUAAUAUUGUGAUGACGUGACUAUUUUAUUCAGAAAUAGUUUGGUGAUUGGUCAAAUUUGUAAGCCCUCACAUAAUAUGCAGGGAAUUGUUGAUUUUGCAACCAAAACAAUGCGAUCGCAGAGUCCUGGAGUAACCUCCCAGUAAUCCCUGUGACUGCGUGUUGGUUAAGAUUGGGUUGUAACAGAGUAUCAGAGCGAGACGUUUCUACCUGGCAGCUAGUAAUUGUUCUGUGUGGUGACAUGAGCAGAGUGGCCUGACUUCUCCCACUUAUUACAGAUGUCCGACUUAGAUAUGUUGAGCAUCCUGCUAUGAUGUCCAUCACCAAGCCGGAACAUUCCGAUGCCAACCCUCAGUGCCAGACUGGCAGCCGGCCGGUGGCUGAGCCCGAGACCCCUGCUGUUCACAAUAACAGUGGAGGCUGGCUCAGCUGGGUCUUUGGGAGUGGAAGAGUUAAUAAGAAGGAGGUUCAUCUACCUGAGGACAAAGACAGAUCUAUUGUCUGGGAUCCAACUCUGCACAGAUGGGUUAACAAAACUGAGCCCAAGGCUGAGGUACACACUUAAAUUCAAAGAAAUAAAAACAGUGAACAACCAUUGUAUUUCAACUGUGAUAAUAUUACUAACAAUUUGGAAAAUGUGUUGAUGUGUUUUACAGAACAAGUGUGUACCACCACCUCCACCGAUGGGGACCUAUGGAUAUCAGGGGAACACUGGCAGUGUCCCCAAAGGAGUGAAUCCUUACUCUAUGAAAGCAGGUGAAUAUUGCUUUAGAAUACAUGUGGUUUAACCAAGACUGUGUCAGCCAAUCAUAGAUGUCCCUGGUGGUCCCCUGCUAACACCUUUCCCACUACCAGCAGGUCUAUGGGGCAGCAGAUACCCUACAAUGCAUGACAAUGAUGGGACCAACUCAAAGCCUCCAAGCCAUGGUCCUGGACUGCUUCCUAGACAGCUCUCUGGCUUGCUCCCUCCUUCACACUUCGACCUCAUGGCACCAAUGGUUGUGCCACCUGACACUCUACCCUACUGAGGUAUGAUUCUGGAAAAUCCUUCCAAAUUGUAUCCUUCAUCAUUAACUGAGAUUUUACUUUAACAUAGCAAAUGGCUGAAGUAGCAAGGAUGUUAACUAUUUUUUAUUUUUGUCCAACAGGCCAUUUGCCCAGAGUGGAUUUGCCAAUAUUCAGCAUUAAAAAUGUAUUAAAACAUGAUCUUUUAAUUAAAUCUCUCCUUUGUGUCCUCAUGUUCACAUUAAUUUGAUGUGUUCUAUCAUCAUUUACAAUGCUUAUUGCUUCUGCAUUGCUUUACGUUACAGACAAGUAUACUGCUCAAAAAAAUAAAGGAAACACUAAAUCACACAAAAGUAAUCAAUGGAAAUCCAAUUUAUCAACCCAUGGAGGUCUGGAUUUGGAGUCAC
This 1850-nucleotide long non-coding RNA is filed under the name Salmo trutta (river trout). RNAcentral describes it as "lncRNA (ENSSTUG00000023240.1)". Lineage: Eukaryota; Metazoa; Chordata; Actinopteri; Salmoniformes; Salmonidae. The record is from RNAcentral.